GAUGAACGCUGACAGAAUGCUUAACACAUGCAAGUCAACUUGAACUUCGGUUUGGGUGGCGGACGGGUGAGUAACGCGUAAAGAACUUGCCUCACAGAUAGGGACAACAUUUGGAAACGAAUGCUAAUACCUGAUAUUAUGAUUUUAGGGCAUCCUAGAAUUAUGAAAGCUAUAAGCACUGUGAGAGAGCUUUGCGUCCCAUUAGCUAGUUGGAGAGGUAACAGCUCACCAAGGCGAUGAUGGGUAGCCGGCCUGAGAGGGUGAACGGCCACAAGGGGACUGAGACACGGCCCUUACUCCUACGGGAGGCAGCAGUGGGGAAUAUUGGACAAUGGACCAAGAGUCUGAUCCAGCAAUUCUGUGUGCACGAUGAAGUUUUUCGGAAUGUAAAGUGCUUUCAGUUGGGAAGAAAUAAAUGACGGUACCAACAGAAGAAGUGACGGCUAAAUACGUGCCAGCAGCCGCGGUAAUACGUAUGUCACGAGCGUUAUCCGGAUUUAUUGGGCGUAAAGCGCGUCUAGGUGGUUAUGUAAGUCUGAUGUGAAAAUGCAGGGCUCAACUCUGUAUUGCGUCGGAAACUGUAUAACUAGAGUACUGGAGAGGUAAGCGGAACUACAAGUGUAGAGGUGAAAUUCGUAGAUAUUUGUAGGAAUGCCGAUGGGGAAGCCAGCUUACUGGACAGAUACUGACGCUAAGCGCGAAAGCGUGGGUAGCAAACAGG
This 721-nucleotide ribosomal RNA is filed under the name uncultured Fusobacterium sp. RNAcentral's name for it is "bacterial SSU rRNA". It matches the Rfam family "Bacterial small subunit ribosomal RNA", at positions 28 to 776 of the family's 1533-position model. The record is from RNAcentral. Lineage: Bacteria; Fusobacteriati; Fusobacteriota; Fusobacteriia; Fusobacteriales; Fusobacteriaceae.